RNAcentral lists this ribosomal RNA (350 nucleotides) under uncultured bacterium. Its description in RNAcentral is "bacterial SSU rRNA". It matches the Rfam family "Bacterial small subunit ribosomal RNA", at positions 355 to 702 of the family's 1533-position model. The record is from RNAcentral.
UAAGGAAUAUUGGACAAUGCUCGCAAGAGUGAUCCAGCCAUUCCGCGUGCAGGAUGACUGCCCUAUGGGUUGUAAACUGCUUUUAGAUAGGAAGAAAGUGUGGUAUUUAUGCCAUUUUGACGGUACUAUCAGAAUAAGGACCGGCUAACUCCGUGCCAGCAGCCGCGGUAAUACGGAGGGUCCAAGCGUUAUCCGGAAUCACUGGGUUUAAAGGGUGCGUAGGCGGAUAACUAAGUCUAAGGUGAAAGUCUGUGGCUUAACUAUAGAAUUGCCUUGGAUACUGGUUAUCUUGAAUUGGGUUGAGGAUUGCGGAAUGUGACAUGUAGCGGUGAAAUGCAUAGAUAUGUCAU